UAAGGAAUAUUGGUCAAUGGACGCAAGUCUGAACCAGUCAUGCCGCGUGAAGGAUGAAGGUCCUCUGGAUUGUAAACUUCUUUUAUCUGGGACGAAAACGGGAUUUUUAUCUCAAUUGACGGUACCAGAGGAAUAAGCACCGGCUAACUCCGUGCCAGCAGCCGCGGUAAUACGGAGGGUGCGAGCGUUAUCCGGAUUUACUGGGUUUAAAGGGUGCGUAGGUGGGCUUAUAAGUCAGUGGUGAAAUCUCCGAGCUUAACUUGGAAACUGCCGUUGAUACUAUAGGUCUUGAAUUAUCUGGAGGUAAGCGGAAUAUGUCAUGUAGCGGUGAAAUGCUUAGAUAUGACAUAGAACACCAAUUGCGAAGGCAGCUUACUACAUAUAAAUUGACGCUGAGGCACGAAAGCGUGGGGAUCAAACA
RNAcentral lists this ribosomal RNA (421 nucleotides) under uncultured bacterium. RNAcentral describes it as "bacterial SSU rRNA". It matches the Rfam family "Bacterial small subunit ribosomal RNA", at positions 355 to 774 of the family's 1533-position model. The record is from RNAcentral.